Long non-coding RNA from Xenopus laevis (African clawed frog), 711 nucleotides. RefSeq lists it as uncharacterized. The record is from RefSeq and is a predicted model, not a curated record. Lineage: Eukaryota; Metazoa; Chordata; Amphibia; Anura; Pipidae. The transcript is spliced from 2 exons.
UGGUUAAGAUACUGCUGCAAGGAUGCCACAUACUGGAUGGAAUUAAUUGGGCUGCAUUGUUUUGUGUCAUCUACAAACCACAAUACAGAGUAGGAGAAUCCUCCUGAUUUCAGAGCCGCAUCGUAACUCUUUAACAUUCAACUCAAUAUUCAGUGCUCGGAGAGUUUUCAAGAGUUCAAACACUGCUUGAGAAACUCAACCUUUUGACAUCACCCAAGAUUACGCCAUGUGCCACGGAUUCUAGACGGCUGCUUUUCAUCAGCAAACACCUUGAAACCUAUCAAGAUGGAGAAGGAAAACUGGCAGAUCUUUGAGGAAGUCCAACCCAACAUUAAACCGUUAAAACAUUUCUACCCAUGAAGGACCCAAAACCAAGCUAUUCUGAAGUGGCUUCACCAAUUAAAGGUGAUUUCUAAAACCACCAUGGCAUCAAGAAUCCCUAUAAUAUGUCUACAUUUAGCCUUCUCUAAACAAAACUACCUGAUAUCAUCCUCAUAGCUGAGCAGAUUCCAGUUAGACAUGUGGGUAAUGUGCUUGGCAUGUUUCUUCAUCAUUGAGUUUGGCCUCUCACAUAAUUCCUUUCUCAGUCUUUUUUUUAAGUUACUGCUGUCUGUAUAGCUGUGCAUGUAAAGGCUUUACACAACAGAGUUUGUAUGACCUUCAUGCCUGUACAAUCGUCAGGCUCAUUGGAUAAAUCUAGUUCAAAUUGGA